GACGAACGCUGGCGGCGUGCUUAACACAUGCAAGUCGAACGGAAAGGCCCUGCUUUUGUGGGGUGCUCGAGUGGCGAACGGGUGAGUAACACGUGAGUAACCUGCCCUUGACUUUGGGAUAACUUCAGGAAACUGGGGCUAAUACCGGAUAGGAGCUCCUGCUGCAUGGUGGGGGUUGGAAAGUUUCGGCGGUUGGGGGUGAACUCGCGUUUUAUCAGCUUGUCGGUGGGGUAGUGGCUUACCAGGGCUUUUACGGGUACCCGGCCUGGGAGGGUGACUGGCGACGUGGGCGGAGGGGAGCGUCCAAAAUACCUACGGAGGCAGCAGUGGGGAAUAUUGCACAAUGGGCGGAAGCCUGAUGCAGCAACGCAGCGUGCGGGAUGACGGCCUUCGGGUUGUAAACCGCUUUCGCCUGUGACGAAGCGUGAGUGACGGUAAUGGGUAAAGAAGCACCGGCUAACUACGUG
RNAcentral lists this ribosomal RNA (467 nucleotides) under uncultured bacterium. Its description in RNAcentral is "partial 16S ribosomal RNA". It matches the Rfam family "Bacterial small subunit ribosomal RNA", at positions 28 to 507 of the family's 1533-position model. The record is from RNAcentral.